UACGGGGAGGGCAAGCGUUGUUCGGAAUUACUGGGCGUAAAGGGCUCGUAGGUGGCCAACUAAGUCAGACGUGAAAUCCCUCGGCUUAACCGGGGAACUGCGUCUGAUACUGGAUGGCUUGAGUUCGGGAGAGGGAUGCGGAAUUCCAGGUGUAGCGGUGAAAUGCGUAGAUAUCUGGAGGAACACCGGUGGCGAAGGCGGCAUCCUGGACCGACACUGACACUGAGGAGCGAAAGCCAGGGGAGCAAACGGG
This 253-nucleotide ribosomal RNA is filed under the name uncultured bacterium. RNAcentral's name for it is "partial 16S ribosomal RNA". It matches the Rfam family "Bacterial small subunit ribosomal RNA", at positions 524 to 776 of the family's 1533-position model. The record is from RNAcentral.